This is a long non-coding RNA of Crotalus tigris (Tiger rattlesnake), 2811 nucleotides long. RefSeq lists it as uncharacterized. The transcript has 4 exons. The record is from RefSeq and is a predicted model, not a curated record. Lineage: Eukaryota; Metazoa; Chordata; Lepidosauria; Squamata; Viperidae.
CUGCCACAGGCCUUUGUGAAUUGAGCAACAGAGAGUAUAGUAGUUGAGAGCCUUCAUUAGUCCUUCCGUAAAAGCCUUACCAAGCAGAAAGCUAAAUAAUUUCAUCUUGAUCUCCCAAGGGGAAAGAAGAAAGUGAUGGAAACAGAAGCCAAUUUGAAGAAGUCAGCAAAUAUAUGAGAAAGUUGUCUAUGGAAAAGAUAUUUUUGACCAGGAAAUGAAAUUGAAAAUGGGUUGGACCACUGGAGCAUCGGCCUCUAACCUGGUGCUUUCCAAGAUGUGCUAGGAAACUAAAAAUCCCAGCAUUCUCACCCAAUAAGACUGAAAGUGAAAAGUGUGUUGCAACAUACUUAGAGAACACCAGGAUGGGAAGCUUCUAUAUCUCUAACUGCUGGAGGCUUCAAGAAAGUUCCAGAUAACCUACAUGUCACCAUGAGUCACACAAUGCCUUCAAUAAACACCAUAAAGUCAGAAAACAAUUUUCAAGCCAUUUGUACAGUACUUAGUGUAAUGUGGGCGUUCUUCUUGUUGUUGUUUAAAAAAAUAUUUUAUUAGAAUUUUUUCAAUGCAGUAAAAAUGAACAAGCAAAAAGAAAGUAAAAAAAGAAUGCAGAAAUGAAAAAGAAAAAAGGGAAAACACAGAAUUAUGCCUUCCACUCUUUCCUCUAUCACAUAAUUGUCAUCAUAAUGUUUCCUCCAUCCUCUUCAUCCAUCUUUAGUCCCCAAAUCCUGAAAUCAUCACUUUGGUCUCUAAACAAAAGACCAUAUAAGGUUAACAAAAGAAAACUCUUGAUCUAUAUCCAAUGUCUAUACAUAUUGCCUAAAUGACAUUGCCAUAUCAAAGGUUAGGCAUGUGUUUGUACCACUCCUCCUAUUGAUCUGAUUUGGAAAGCAAUCAGGAAAUGAGAGCUAGAUGUUAACCUUUUCCUCACUGACCUAUUAUCCACUCAAAAUGAUAUUGUGGUAAUAGAUUGAAUAUGGGCCUAAUUGUAAAAUGUUGUCAGCAUAACAAAAAUGCAUAGUUCUCCUACUAAAAUUAAUCUUCUAAUUUUAAAACAGCUUAUUUGAGUAGAAUAGUUUGGAGAAAUUAAGGUAGAAAUAAAAGUUUAUCCACCAAGGUCUCCUGCUCCAGACCUUACAAAGCUGGGCCUCAAAUUUCAGCACCACUUCUUCUUGUGACAUCAUUAUAUUACUAGAUGACUGCUUGGGUCCUUUUGGAAAGUUAGGUGAAGGAAUUACAACUGCAAGCUCUCAAAAGUUGCUUAACCAUCCCUGGAGUACAAAUAGUCCUUGCUUAAUAACUACAGCUGGGACCAGCAACUCUGUGACUAAGAAAAACGUGAUGUGACCACAAUGGAUUUACAUCCUUACUUCCACUGCAGUUGUUGAAUGACUCACCUGCAGUUAUUAAGCAAUUUCUCCUUUUGACACUGCUUGUCAGACGCUGGUUGUGAAGUGCACAAAUGGCAAUCAUGUAACCGCAUGAUGAUGGGAUGAUCAUAAAUGCUUGCCAGUUGCGAAGUACCAGAAUUGCAAUCAUGUGACUGUGUGGAUACCUUGACAGUUGGAAAUGCAAGAAAGAAUCAUAAAGUCACUUUUUUCAGCACUGUGAUAACUUUAGACCGUCCCUAAACAGGGCACUCAUUAAGUGGGGCCUACCUAUCUGUUGUUCAGUUGGUCCAGUUUGGUCUAGUGGUUAAGACACUGGUUAGAAACCAGGAGAUUGUGAGUUCUAGUCCUGCCUUAGGUACGAAACCCAGCUAGAUGACUUUGGGCCAGUAAUUCUCUCUCAGCCCUACCUACCAUAGAGUUGUUGUGGAAAAAAUAGGAAGAGGGGUAUUAGGUAUGUGUACUGCCUUAAAUUAUUUAUAAACAUAAUAAAGGCAGGGUAAAUAAAUUAAUAAAAUUAGCUAUGGAAAUGAUUUUAUAUAUUACAUGGUCAUGUAUCUGUGUGACAAAAUCACACCUACCUAUUUUAGCAUGGAAAUUGGAACAUACUGACCGCUUAAGUGUGGAGUUUGGAGUAAACUAAGUUUAAAGUUGCUUACUGGUUUUAAAAAAGGAACCCAAAUAGUUUCUGUGUUCCUUAACAAUUACAGGAGUUUUCAAUUCCAGGUUUCCUCUCCUGGAUGAAAGGAGAUGAAAACAGAAUUUGGCACAAAUCUAGGAAGGCAUUCUUUUUCCUGUAGUAAUAGUACCUAAAACAGCAAGUGAUGCUUUCAGCUUGCUUCUUAAUUCUGUGAUAACUUCAUCUUAAAUGGAGGCCCCCAAGAUUCAAGAAUGACACACUAUAUUAUUUCUGAGUGGUUGUCUUUGUUGUUCCUCACCUAUAAACAGAAAUCUUGCCAAACUAAAGCAAUUACUUGUAUCAUUAAAGAUAUACUCUGAGAAUUGCUAGGGAAGAGCCAUCAUAAUUCUCUUUCUCCCAACCAAAUUACCUAAACUUUGCUGCAUCUUGGCCCCCUGGCAUGCAUCCCCUUCAUGCUGGGAAUCCAGACUAUACUACACCAUAUAGUUAGAUAUUUAAUAGAUUUGGUACUAAUAUGGAAUAAUGAAAAAUCACUAAAAUAAUGAUGUGUCUGCAUAAUUACUCGAGUAAUGCUGUGUUAGCAAUAUGUGACUAACCAAAUGCGCAUUGCACUUGGGAACAAUAUAUGUAGCAAAACUCUCCAUUGUAUGCCUGUGAGAAACUAACCUAAUGUGUAUUAGAAUGUGUAGUCUUUUGUUCCUGAGAAAAAGAAAGUAUAAAACUGAAACCUGAACCCGCCCUCGGGGUUCAGAAUUGCUGGUUGCUUUUGCUUCUGAACCUGCGCAA